GAUGAACGCUGGCGGCGUGCCUAAUACAUGCAAGUCGAGCGAACGGAUUAAGAGCUUGCUCUUAUGAAGUUAGCGGCGGACGGGUGAGUAACACGUGGGUAACCUGCCCAUAAGACUGGGAUAACUCCGGGAAACCGGGGCUAAUACCGGAUAACAUUUUGAACCGCAUGGUUCGAAAUUGAAAGGCGGCUUCGGCUGUCACUUAUGGAUGGACCCGCGUCGCAUUAGCUAGUUGGUGAGGUAACGGCUCACCAAGGCAGCGAUGCGUAGCCGACCUGGGAGGGGGAUCGGCCACACUGGGACUGAGACACGGCCCAGACUCCUACGGGAGGCAGCAGUAGGGAAUCUUCCGCAAUGGACGAAAGUCUGACGGAGCAACGCCGCGUGAGUGAUGAAGGCUUUCGGGUCGUAGAACUCUGUUGUUAGGGAAGAACAAGUGCUAGUUGAAUAAGCUGGCACCUUGACGGUACCUAACCAGAAAGCCACGGCUAACUACGUGCCAGCCGCCGCCGUAA
This 515-nucleotide ribosomal RNA is filed under the name uncultured bacterium. RNAcentral's name for it is "partial 16S ribosomal RNA". It matches the Rfam family "Bacterial small subunit ribosomal RNA", at positions 28 to 523 of the family's 1533-position model. The record is from RNAcentral.